This 372-nucleotide ribosomal RNA is filed under the name uncultured bacterium. Its description in RNAcentral is "bacterial SSU rRNA". It matches the Rfam family "Bacterial small subunit ribosomal RNA", at positions 28 to 404 of the family's 1533-position model. The record is from RNAcentral.
GACGAACGCUGGCGGCGUGCUUAACACAUGCAAGUCGAGCGGUAAGGCCCUUCGGGGUACACGAGCGGCGAACGGGUGAGUAACACGUGAGCAAUCUGCCCUCCACAUCGGGAUAACCCCCGGAAACGGGAGCUAAUACCGGAUACGACCACUUCAGGCAUCUGAUGGUGGUGGAAAGUUCUGGCGGUGGAGGAUGAGCUCGCGGCCUAUCAGCUUGUUGGUGGGGUAAUGGCCCACCAAGGCUUCGACGGGUAGCCGGCCUGAGAGGGUGACCGGCCACACUGGGACUGAGACACGGCCCAGACUCUACGGGAGGCAGCAGUGGGGAAUAUUGGACAAUGGGCGAAAGCCUGAUCCAGCAACGCCGCGUGA